RNAcentral lists this ribosomal RNA (440 nucleotides) under uncultured bacterium. RNAcentral describes it as "partial 16S ribosomal RNA". It matches the Rfam family "Bacterial small subunit ribosomal RNA", at positions 339 to 795 of the family's 1533-position model. The record is from RNAcentral.
CUACGGGCGGCUGCAGUAGGGAAUAUUGGUCAAUGGACGAAAGUCUGAACCAGCAACGCCGCAUGUGCGAUGAAGGUCUUCGGAUCGUAAAGCACUUUUCGGAGAGAUGAGGAAGGACAGUAUCUCCGGAAUAAGGAUCGGCUAACUACGUGCCAGCAGCCGCGGUAAAACGUAGGAUCCGAGCGUUAUCCGAAUUUACUGGGCGUAAAGCGCGUGCAGGCGGUUUGGUAAGUUGGAUGUGAAAGCUCCUGGCUCAACUGGGAGAGGCCGUUCAAAACUGCCAGAAUAGAGGAUGGUAGAGGGAGGUGGAAUUCCGGGUGUAGUGGUGAAAUGCGUAGAUAUCCGGAGGAACACCAGUGGCGAAGGCGGCCUCCUGGACCAUUCCUGACGCUCAGACGCGAAGGCUAGGGUAGCGAACGGGAUUAGAUACCCCCGUAGUC